AAUUAUUAUGAGGCGGUGUAGGCAAGCGGAGGGAGGAAGGGGCGCCGGAGCAGUCUGAGCCCAGCUUCGGGUGGAAGAGGACUGCAUCUGGAGCCCCGAAGAACGGCAGAAGAAAAGAGGCCAAAAAGACAGCAAAGAGACAGAUGAAUAGUUCUGUCUGUGUGUGACAGGCAUCGCCAAUCUUGUUGGGGUGGGGGGGGCGGGUGUAAUUUUUUUUUUUUUUUUUUUUGAUGGCUUGUCCUGGAAACACAUCAAGCUCAACUCCUGUGUCCAGCUCGCUUCUCUGCUGGACUCCUUGAUUUUUUUUUAAUCAUUGUUUGAUUUUGAGCAGUAACCAGGCUUUUUUUUCCAGAUGUUAGUCCACACCUAUUCAUCCAUGGACCGGCACGAUGGUGUCCCGAGCCACAGCUCGCGGCUCUCCCAGCUGGGCUCGGUCUCCCAAGGACCCUACUCGAGCGCCCCGCCGCUGUCCCACACCCCGUCGUCGGACUUCCAGCCGCCCUACUUCCCACCCCCCUACCAGCCGCUCCCCUACCACCAGAGCCAGGACCCCUACUCCCACGUCAACGACCCCUACUCCCUGAACCCACUGCACCAGCCCCAGCAACAUCCCUGGGGGCAACGGCAGCGGCAAGAAGUGGGUUCGGAAGCCGGCUCUCUCCUGCCCCAGCCUCGGGCCGCCUUGCCCCAGCUCUCGGGCCUUGACCCCCGGAGGGACUACCACUCGGUCCGCCGGCCGGACGUGCUGCUGCAUUCGGCGCACCACGGCCUGGACGCGGGCAUGGGUGACAGCCUCUCACUGCACGGCCUCGGCCAUCCCGGAAUGGAAGACGUCCAG
This 838-nucleotide small RNA is filed under the name Pongo abelii (Sumatran orangutan). RNAcentral describes it as "processed transcript". The record is from RNAcentral. Lineage: Eukaryota; Metazoa; Chordata; Mammalia; Primates; Hominidae.